Molecule: ribosomal RNA, 245 nt
Filed under: uncultured bacterium
Lineage: Bacteria
Description: partial 16S ribosomal RNA
Rfam family: Bacterial small subunit ribosomal RNA
Source: RNAcentral
GUGCAAACGUUGUUCGGAAUUACUGGGCGUAAAGCGCGUGUAGGCUGCUCGGAAAGUCGGAUGUGAAAGCCCUGGGCUCAACCUAGGAAGUGCAUUCGAAACUUCCGAGCUGGAGUCCUGGAGAGGAAGGCGGAAUUCUCGGUGUAGAGGUGAAAUUCGUAGAUAUCGAGAGGAACACCGGUGGCGAAGGCGGCCUUCUGGACAGUGACUGACGCUGAGACGCGAAAGCGUGGGGAGCAAGCGGG